This is a small nuclear RNA of Diceros bicornis minor, 106 nucleotides long. Lineage: Eukaryota; Metazoa; Chordata; Mammalia; Perissodactyla; Rhinocerotidae. The record is from RefSeq and is a predicted model, not a curated record.
GUGCGUGCUUCAGCCAACCUAUGCUAAAAUUGGAACGAUACAGAGAAGAUUAGCAUGGCCCAUGCACAUGGAUGAUAUGCAAAUUUGUGAAGCACUCCAUAUUUUU